CCUACGGGAGGCAGCAGUAGGGAAUCUUUCACAAUGGGCGAAAGCCUGAUGGAGCAACGCCGCGUGCAGGAUGAAGGCCUUCGGGUUGUAAACUGCUUUUAUAAGCGAGAAAUAUGAUGGUAACUUUUGAAUAAGGAUCGGCUAACUACGUUCCAGCAGCUGCGGUCAUACGUAGGAUCCGAGCAUUAUCCGGCGUGUCUGGGGGUAAAGGGUUGCGUAGGUGGCAUAAUAAGUAGCUAGUGAAAUCUGGUGGCUCAACCGUGCAGACUCUUAGCUAAACUGUUAAGCUCGAGACCGUUAGGGGUGACUGGAAUUUGUAGUGUAGGAGUGAAAUCCGUAGAUAUUAGAAGGAACACCGAUAGCGAAGGCAGGUUGCUGGGACGGUUCUGACGCUAAGGCACGAAAGCGUAGGGAGCAAACGGGAUUAGAUACCCGAGUAGUC
This 442-nucleotide ribosomal RNA is filed under the name uncultured bacterium. RNAcentral describes it as "partial 16S ribosomal RNA". It matches the Rfam family "Bacterial small subunit ribosomal RNA", at positions 338 to 795 of the family's 1533-position model. The record is from RNAcentral.